RNAcentral lists this transfer RNA (76 nucleotides) under Paracoccus aurantiacus. RNAcentral's name for it is "Paracoccus sp. TK008 tRNA-Thr". It matches the Rfam family "tRNA". Rfam says of the family: Transfer RNA (tRNA) molecules are approximately 80 nucleotides in length. Their secondary structure includes four short double-helical elements and three loops (D, anti-codon, and T loops). Further hydrogen bonds mediate the characteristic L-shaped molecular structure. tRNAs have two regions of fundamental functional importance: the anti-codon, which is responsible for specific mRNA codon recognition, and the 3' end, to which the tRNAs corresponding amino acid is attached (by aminoacyl-tRNA synthetases). tRNAs cope with the degeneracy of the genetic code in two manners: having more than one tRNA (with a specific anti-codon) for a particular amino acid; and 'wobble' base-pairing, i.e. permitting non-standard base-pairing at the 3rd anti-codon position. Lineage: Bacteria; Pseudomonadati; Pseudomonadota; Alphaproteobacteria; Rhodobacterales; Paracoccaceae. The record is from RNAcentral.
GCCGGCAUAGCUCAGUUGGUAGAGCAGCUGAUUUGUAAUCAGAAGGUCGGGGGUUCAAAUCCCUCUGCCGGCACCG